AGAGCCUUCCUUGCUCUCUCCUCUCUUUGAAACCCCCUAGGGCCGGCCUGUGGGUUUCAUCGGUGCCGGAUGCGCCUCCACCUCCGCCGUGACUCAUGGCCUGGGUCGCGCCAAACGGGGUGUUUCAAAAUCCCCCUUUUAAUAGACUUGAAGGCCGAGCCUUCCUCACGCAAGAAAAAUCGAGAGGAGAAGACCCUCACCUACCUUUGGUCCGAUAUUCGUGCCGGAGAAAGGACCUCCGACAAUCGAAACCCCCGGUAAGUUUUUGGUGAACUUUCCUCUUCUUUCUCUAUUUAUCAAUGAAAAAUAGAACUUAAAAGCAAAAUCAAUAGAAAAAAAUGAAACGCAAGUCACCUUUUUAAUUUCUUUUUUGUUUUUGAUUGUUAUGUAUGUGUAAAGAAAGGUACAAAGGGUUGUUCAUGGCUUUAUAGUCGAAUAUUCAAAGAACAAAAAUACAAUUUCCCCUUUUUUCUUCGUAUUUGUUGUUGCACUUUGCUGCUGUUUGUCUAUUUUUUCGCAGGUAUGGAGUGUGUGCUGGCAUUCGGCGUGGGCAUACGGAGGCGCACGUGGUGGUCGUAUGGCGCUGAAGGCUGGGGCUUGGUUGUGGCGCAAGGGGUAGAAACCCUGGGGUUUCUGUUUCUAAAAUAUUUUGGGCCUUUUGGGCCUUGAAUUUUGGGGCUGUAAUUGGGUUAAUUUGGGCCCAAUGUACUGGACUGUUAAUAUCUAUUGUAAAUGGGUUGUAAUAUUUGGACUACUUUAAUAUUUUUAUUAUAAUUUUUUUCUUUUUGUUUUGUGUUUGUACGGGCUCGGCCCAAAAUUGGGCCUUACAAAAGGAAUUAUUUUUUUACUCUCUUGAGUUUGGAUUUAGAGUUGUGGAACAUAGACAAUUUCUUAGUACAUGAUUUUGCUCUUGAUCAGUAUAUUGAACCAAUUCAAC
RNAcentral lists this long non-coding RNA (937 nucleotides) under Gossypium barbadense (sea-island cotton). Its description in RNAcentral is "long non-coding RNA (GBAR_LNC004152)". The record is from RNAcentral. Lineage: Eukaryota; Viridiplantae; Streptophyta; Magnoliopsida; Malvales; Malvaceae.